This is a long non-coding RNA of Solanum verrucosum, 400 nucleotides long. RefSeq lists it as uncharacterized. The record is from RefSeq and is a predicted model, not a curated record. The transcript is spliced from 2 exons. NCBI's taxonomy places the organism in Eukaryota, Viridiplantae, Streptophyta, Magnoliopsida, Solanales, Solanaceae.
UUAGUUUUUCCCUUGCUUCGAUGACGUCUAGUUGAACACAUCUUAUGGAACCUUUAUCUUCACAUGAACAUUCAACUCGUCUCUCUCCAAUAAUCUCGACCUGAUCUGCAAGUAGCUCCAUUUUAGGCAUUGGAAUGAUAGUCCUUCCAGCAAGUUUGUUUUCAUUGGCUUGAGAUGGAGGACUCACAGUUUCAUGUAUACCUUCUAUGCAUGGUUUAUCCUUAUUACUAUAUGGUGUCCAUUCUGGUAGCUCUGCCUGGAAAUCUGGUCCAAUGGGGACCAUCUUUUGAGCAUUACUCAAAAGAGAAGAAUAUAUCUCCCUGUGAUGAGCAGCAGCCCUGAACGGAUGAUCAAAAUAGUAAUAUUCAGGAGAUGUCGAUAAGUGAAAAGGAGCCUCAGG